This is a long non-coding RNA of Zea mays, 3435 nucleotides long. RefSeq lists it as uncharacterized. The transcript is spliced from 3 exons. NCBI's taxonomy places the organism in Eukaryota, Viridiplantae, Streptophyta, Magnoliopsida, Poales, Poaceae. The record is from RefSeq and is a predicted model, not a curated record.
UGGAAUCCAUAUAAAUAUUGUGGUAUGUAAUGCUGGUACUCAAUUACUACCUAAACUGAAUUGCAGCACCACUUCGCCCUUCUACUACACUAAAUACACAAGCAGCAUCAAGGUUCAUUAGACACUCACUUUCCCAUCUGACAUCUGAUCAGAAGAGGAGCAUGCAUGAAAUAAGUAGAGGAGAAAGGCGGAGUUGGUCUGGGCAGAAGAGAAAGCCUGAACCUUCAGUAGAAAAGAAAUCUGUUCGUGUUGCUGCAGAAGAGUUCUUUGCAAAGGCUUCUCAGGAACUUAUUGGACAUAGUGAUAGCAGGGUCAAGGGUCCUGUUAUACUCAUUUCUGAUGAAGAUGAGGACUAGAUCAGUAUGUUGUUUUUUGUCAGUUUGUGAAAUAUUUAUACUGCUGAUUUGUCAUUGUUGACUUUGUUCUUACUGCAAAAGCAAUGCUGGACACAACAGGCCUACUUACAUUACAUGCUGAUGUGUACAACAUUGUAACAUACUCAGACAUGAGGACAUAUAUGGCAUAUUGGCCACAAAAUCAUGGUCCAUUGAUCUGUCUUCAUAAAAAUAAAUGGCACUGACAAUCCUUGAUUGGUAAUAUAGAUACUUAUAGAUUAUUGCAAUUUACAGACUCUUGGCAUCAUAAAUUUAAUGAUUGAACAUGUAUACAUUUUUCAUAACGUGCAAUAUGUGAACAUGUAUACAUUUUUCAUGCAAUAUGUGAACAUGUAUACAUUUUCAUGAUUCAGUUACAGUUAAUUUAAUGAUUGAAGUUUUUGUUCCCUUUUGCAUAUAGACUAUUCUUCUGAAAAAAUGAUAGGACACUACUCUGAGGACAUCCUUCGCUUUGACGUAGAUGACGCAUAACCAAUAACCAAUACAGUAAUAUUUGGAAUGGUCAUAAGUCAAACUAGACUUCCCCAGCGACAACGAUUCAACGAACAAGAACCAGGCCAGUAGUUAUGUAGUGCAAAGAUCUACUCCCGGUCCCGGUGAGUUUGAUUAGAAAUCAUGAAUGUUUAGUACCUGGCUCAGUUUUUAUUAGCAGUGUAGUGAGACCGAGAGCAUGAGGCUUCAAAGAGGAAAUUUGUUAAGGCAUAAUAGGUUAUAUUCUUGUUGUCUACUAACAUCAGAUGCAUUCAGUGAACCAGCUUCCAAUGCCUCUUGUACCGCUCAUCGGCAAGGGAGUGCUAUAGGAGGAGGUUAUGGUGAGUUUUGUCGCGACUAACGGUGAGCCCACAACUACAGCCACGUUGAAGCUGGUCUGGUGGAAUCUCUUAGAGCAGAUGACGAUGACGCCGACAUCCUGCACCUCUACGACGCUGUCGACCAGGACGCGGGCCCCUCCGUUGCGCGCUCUACAAGUCUGGAUCCAUCAUCGUGCUCGGUAAGACUGACUUCCUUAGGCCAGACAUGGUACGAUUCUUGCCCCCGUCUUCUUAUCUAUACUGCUUAUCAUUUCUGACCUGGUUCUAUUUGAGGCUAUUUGAGGCAAGGGAAAUUUCACUAACAAUUUACCAUUUAGUGAAUCUAUUUGAGGCUCACUUCAGUCUAAAGCACUCUUAACUAGAUCUUUUCCUUUCCACAAUAGACUGUUUAGAAUGAGCUGCUGCUCCACCAAUUCUUUUGCAGCCUCCUUGCUUGACUCAUGAUGAAAACCAUGACGUAAUAUGCCACAAACCUAAUAGAGUAAACAAAAUCUCCCUCUUUAUAUUGGCCGGCAAAAUUGUGAUCCUAUCAACAUAAAUGAGUUUUUUUUCACUGCACCACAAUUGGCUAUAGUUGCUAGAUGGCAAGAAGACAUAUCUCUGUGGUUUUUUGAGUCCAAUUAUGCCGACUCUAACUAUGUAACUCCAAAAUCUCUCAGGAAGGCACUACAAUGACAGGCGCAAAUAUUGUAGCCUCAUAAGUUACUUGGCUAAAUUUACACAUGCUAAAAUCACUCAAAAGAAUUCACUCAAAAGAAACUGGACUGUUAAACAGCAAGCAAAUCACUCAAAAGAAUUUAGUUUGGGCGUGCCUCUUCUGUUUAUAAUGACUGUUGAGUGAUUUUAGGAUAGCAAUUUAGUAUAGCAUGUCAUUGAGUAAAUGUUGUCUUUUACUAAGAUAAUUUGAGUGAUUUGCUUCCUAUUUAAGAGUCCAGUUUUCAGAAAUAAAGCGCUUUGUGUGUUCAGAAGAAUUACCCAAAAUUUCAGAAAUGAACUCUAUCUUCUGUUUGGGCGUUGCAGUCCAGAGUGAUUUGCCUUGCAUUUUGUUUGUAGACUGACAACUAGGUGUUGUAUUGCAGUAUAACUGCAUUAGCCUUGGACUUAAUCCGGAUAAGAUGGUUGAGAUGGAUAACGCAUGUGGUAGUUGUAUGGACCAUAAAAAUAUUAACAAACAAAGCAAAUAGCUUAUAAACUGAUUUCAUGAAUUAAGAAACAUGAGUCAUGAUCAUGCUUUUUCAUUACCUGUUCUGUAAACUAAAAGGGUCUGUUAAACUAACUGAAAUUGUGCUACGUGGUAUGACUAUUUCUGUUUUAAGUUCCUAUCUUUUAUUAGAGUUCAUUUCUGAAAAUAUUGGUAAUGCUUCUGAACACACAAAGCGCUUCGUUUCUGAAAACUGGACUGUUAAACAACAAGCAAAUCACUCAAAAGAAUUUAGUUUGGGCGUGCCUCUUCUGUUUAUAUUGACUGUUGAGUGAUUUUAGGAUAGAUGUCAUUGAGUAAAGGAACAAACAGCCAUUGUUUUUUUGUUUUUUGCGCAACGGAACAGACUGUCCGAAUACUCAGUUGCUCUGAAUGCUAUCUAUUCUGUUUUUGUUUUUCUUACAGCUCAGUUUUCAUCAUUCUUUGAACUGAUGCAUUGUUGUUUUUUGGUUCCUACAUAAAUAGAAAGGGCCCAUAGGUUAUUGGAUUAUGAGUGAUGAUAACAAAAUAUUCUGUUUUAAAUUCAGGCAGUCAUGCUUUCAAUUAGUGUUUAGAAACAUAUACUAUGUUCAAGUGUAGGGUGUUCAUUUGCUUUUAGUUCUUUAAAACAAAGCGGAAUCAAGGUGUUCAUUUUAAACAUAUAUCUGUAACUAAAAGGGUCUGUUAAACUAACUGAAAUUGUGCUACAUGGUAUGACUAUUUCUGUUUUAAGUUCCUAUCUUUUAUUAGAGUUUAUUUCUGAAAAUUUUGGUAAUGCUUCUGAACACACAAAGUGCUUCAUUGCUGAAAACUGGACUGUUAAACAGCAAGCAAAUCUCCACAUGAAGGUGGUCCUUGUGAUGAAUAUCCGUAGGAUAAUCUGAGGAACUACCUUAUAUUCCAAAGAAACAUACAAUUAGAUAAUAUAUAUUAUCUAGAAGACAAAAAUAAGACGAAAAUGUAAUCAGCAGAAACAAAAAACCAUUGAAGCAUAAAAUUAGUUGGAAACAACAAAUAAAUUAAUAAUAUAUCACAAUUAUCAUGUAGU